This 253-nucleotide ribosomal RNA is filed under the name uncultured bacterium. RNAcentral describes it as "partial 16S ribosomal RNA". It matches the Rfam family "Bacterial small subunit ribosomal RNA", at positions 524 to 776 of the family's 1533-position model. The record is from RNAcentral.
UACGUAGGGGGCAAGCGUUGUCCGGAAUCAUUGGGCGUAAAGCGCGUGUAGGCGGUUCAGUAAGUCUGCUGUGAAAGUCCAGGGCUCAACCCUGGGAUGCCGGUGGAUACUGCUGGGCUAGAGUACGGAAGAGGCGAGUGGAAUUCCCGGUGUAGCGGUGAGAUGCGCAGAUAUCGGGAGGAACACCUAUUGCGAAGGCAGCUCGCUGGGACGUUACUGACGCUGAGACGCGAAAGCGUGGGGAGCAAACAGG